GGAAUCUUCCAGCGGAUUAGGGCAAACGGGCUCAGGACGCUGCGGAGGCUGCCGAGUUCGACUGGGUCCAGCUACCGUGGAGCGGCGCUGCCCAGACCAGAGGAGCCGUAGCUCUGCUCUGCUUGCAGAGGCUUCCAGCGUGGAGUAAAGAAUGGCUGUUGAACAUCCACAAGACACCUGCAAGAAUGUGAAUCAAGGUUGAGACCAACACAUUAUUUCUGGAAAAGGAUAUUUAUGCAAUAG
This 243-nucleotide long non-coding RNA is filed under the name Rhinolophus ferrumequinum (greater horseshoe bat). Its description in RNAcentral is "lncRNA (ENSRFEG00010005622.1)". Lineage: Eukaryota; Metazoa; Chordata; Mammalia; Chiroptera; Rhinolophidae. The record is from RNAcentral.